Molecule: ribosomal RNA, 253 nt
Filed under: uncultured bacterium
Lineage: Bacteria
Description: partial 16S ribosomal RNA
Rfam family: Bacterial small subunit ribosomal RNA
Source: RNAcentral
UACGAAGGGGGCUAGCGUUGCUCGGAAUCACUGGGCGUAAAGCGCACGUAGGCGGAUCUUUAAGUCAGGGGUGAAAUCCUGGAGCUCAACUCCAGAACUGCCUUUGAUACUGGAGAGCUUGAGUCCGGGAGAGGUGAGUGGAACUCCGAGUGUAGAGGUGAAAUUCGUAGAUAUUCGGAAGAACACCAGUGGCGAAGGCGGCGACCUGGUCCGACACUGACGCUGAGGCGCGAAAGCGUGGGGAGCAAACAGG